CUCGGAAGAAGUUUUCGGAUGGAUUUUGGGAUAGUUUAGUGGCGGACGGGUGAGUAACACGUGAGCAACCUGCCUUUGAGAGGGGAAUAACGGCUGGAAACGGUCGCUAAUACCGCAUAACGUACGGAUGGGACAUCCUGUCUGUACCAAAGAUUUAUCGCUCGAAGAUGGGCUCGCGUCCGAUUAGGUAGUUGGUGAGGUAACGGCCCACCAAGCCGACGAUCGGUAGCCGGACUGAGAGGUUGAACGGCCACAUUGGGACUGAGACACGGCCCAGACUCCUACGGGAGGCAGCAGUGGGGGAUAUUGCACAAUGGGGGAAACCCUGAUGCAGCGACGCCGCGUGUGGGAAGACGGUCUUCUGGAUUGUAAACCACUGUCCCCAGGGACGAAAAUGACGGUACCCGGGGAGGAAGCUCCGGCUAACUACGUGCCAGCAGCCGCGGUAAUACGUAGGGAGCAAGCGUUGUCCGGAAUUACUGGGUGUAAAGGGAGCGUAGGCGGGGAUGCAAGUUGGGUGUCAAAACUACCGGCUCAACCGAUAGUCGCACUCAAAACUGCAGCUCUUGAGUGAAGUAGAGGCAGGCGGAAUUCCUAGUGUAGCGGUGAAAUGCGUAGAUAUUAGGAGGAACACCAGUGGCGAAGGCGGCCUGCUGGGCUUUUACUGACGCUGAGGCUCGAAAGUGUGGGGAGCAAACAGGAUUAGAUACCCUGGUAGUCCACACCGUAAACGAUGAUUACUAGGUGUGGGGGGUCUGACCCCCUCCGUGCCGGAGCAAACGCAAUAAGUAAUCC
Molecule: ribosomal RNA, 795 nt
Filed under: uncultured bacterium
Lineage: Bacteria
Description: bacterial SSU rRNA
Rfam family: Bacterial small subunit ribosomal RNA
Source: RNAcentral